Junco hyemalis (dark-eyed junco) is the source of this 734-nucleotide long non-coding RNA. The record is from Ensembl. Lineage: Eukaryota; Metazoa; Chordata; Aves; Passeriformes; Passerellidae.
UCCCCUUUUCCCGGUGCCUCCGUCUGCCUGGCGGAACUGGACUUUCAGGUCUGUGCAGGUGAAGGUGUGCGUGUGAACGCCCGAGACGGCAGAACCAGAGCUACUGGUAAUUCUGCUUUCCUUCCCCCCCUCUCCCGGCUCCGCAGCCAGCCGCCGAGGCAGGACAGGUAGAGCCCCCUCCCCCUGGCAUGUGGGGAGCGGCGGGGCUGGGGCGCCGGCGGGGCUCGGCACGGGAGAGCGGCCGGGCCGGGCGCGCACAGGUAACUUUCUCGAGCGGCGCUGGAUUCUUUCACUAAAGGAGCGGGGAGAGGGACGAGCCGCGCGCUGAUUGGGCGGCGCGGCCGCCAGGUGCGCUGCCAUUGGCAGAGGCGCGCACAGGUGAGGAAGGAGCCGCCGCCGAGCCCCAGCAGGGGAAAGCUGGAAGAGAAUGGAAAAGCUGGAAUGGAACAUUUAUCGAGGCUCUGUCAUGCGGAGAUGAAGUGAACGGAGAGGACUGCAGAUCCUCAGUCACCCUUCAGCCCAGUACAACCUACUGUGUACUUUGCCAGAGGACCAAAGUGGGUUUACAAGGGACAACCAGAGAGGGCUGUGCGGGCAGCAGCUUUGACCCUGAUGGAGAAGGAGCUGAGCCAGAACUGUGAGAUGCCCUGGAAGAAAGGACUGCUAUGCAAUAAGUUACAACUUUAUGACUGUGUAAAAAUAAAAAAGCAACUCAAACAAUUAUUGUUAUACCU